This 470-nucleotide long non-coding RNA is filed under the name Equus caballus (horse). RNAcentral describes it as "lncRNA (ENSECAG00000045371.1)". The record is from RNAcentral. Lineage: Eukaryota; Metazoa; Chordata; Mammalia; Perissodactyla; Equidae.
GGCAAAAGUGAUGCUGUGGCAGUGUCUUGCCCAGACUUAUGAUAGUGGGGGCUUCCAUUCCUGUCUUUUGGAACACUUGCCCCUGGAAGUCUGAGCCUUCAUGUAAGAAGUUUGGCUACUCUGCUGGAGAGGCCUCCUGGAGAGUACCCAAGAAUCUACCAAAAGGAGGUGGAGGUUGGCUCACGCAUCAGGCAUGUGAGUGAAGCUAUCUUGGACCCUCCAGCCCAGUCUAGCUGCCUGCUGAAUAUCACUGAGUGACCCAGGUACUGACCAUAGCAUAAGUAAGCGGUCCUCUCUGCCAAGAUCAAGAACUGAAGCAAGUAGGAAGUAGCUGCCAAAAGUGCUGAGUCUAGGACCACACGGUUUCAACCCCAUCCACGCCGGACCUGGGGACAUUUGAUACUGUGGCCAGUAGAAACACAGAAACAGCAGAGAUGGACCUGACUAUACUUUGCUUCAGUUAUUGUAGG